CAGUCGCCGCGGGAAUACGAAGGGGGCUAGCGUUGCUCGGAAUUACUGGGCGUAAAGCGCACGUAGGCGGAUAUUUAAGUCAGGGGUGAAAUCCCAGAGCUCAACUCUGGAACUGCCUUUGAUACUGGGUAUCUUGAGUAUGGAAGAGGUGAGUGGAAUUCCGAGUGUAGAGGUGAAAUUCGUAGAUAUUCGGAGGAACACCAGUGGCGAAGGCGGCUCACUGGUCCAUUACUGACGCUGAGGUGCGAAAGCGUGGGGAGCAAACAGGAUUAGAUACCCCAGUAGUCCCUGUCUCUUAUAA
Molecule: ribosomal RNA, 301 nt
Filed under: uncultured bacterium
Lineage: Bacteria
Description: partial 16S ribosomal RNA
Rfam family: Bacterial small subunit ribosomal RNA
Source: RNAcentral